RNAcentral lists this ribosomal RNA (634 nucleotides) under Leptographium cucullatum. Its description in RNAcentral is "eukaryotic LSU rRNA". It matches the Rfam family "Eukaryotic large subunit ribosomal RNA", at positions 1 to 653 of the family's 3401-position model. Lineage: Eukaryota; Fungi; Ascomycota; Sordariomycetes; Ophiostomatales; Ophiostomataceae. The record is from RNAcentral. RNAcentral also lists the same sequence under 1 other name.
UUGACCUCGGAUCAGGUAGGAUUACCCGCUGAACUUAAGCAUAUCAAUAAGCGGAGGAAAAGAAACCAACAGGGAUUGCCUCAGUAACGGCGAGUGAAGCGGCAACAGCUCAGAUUUGGAAUCUGGUCCUUUGGGGCCCGAGUUGUAAUCUGGAGAGGAUGCUUCUGGCGCGGCGCCGUCCGAGUUCCCUGGAACGGGACGCCGGAGAGGGUGAGAGCCCCGUACGGUCGGACGCCUAGCCUGUGUGAAGCUCCUUCGACGAGUCGAGUAGUUUGGGAAUGCUGCUCAAAAUGGGAGGUAAAUUUCUUCUAAAGCUAAAUACCGGCCAGAGACCGAUAGCGCACAAGUAGAGUGAUCGAAAGAUGAAAAGCACUUUGAAAAGAGGGUCAAACAGUACGUGAAAUUGUUGAAAGGGAAGCGCCCGUGGCCAGACUUGUGCCCGGCAGACCAUCCGGCGCCCCCGCGCCGGUGCACUCUGCCGGGCGCAGGCCAGCAUCGGUUUUCCUAGGGGGAUAAAGGCGGCGGGAACGUGGCUCCCUCGGGAGCGUUAUAGCCCGCCGUGUCAUGCCUCUGGGGGGACCGAGGACCGCGCAUUUAUGCAAGGAUGCUGGCGUAAUGGCCACCGGCGACCGUC